CCUACGGGUGGCUGCAGUAGGGAAUUUUCGGCAAUGGGGGGAACCCUGACCGAGCAACGCCGCGUGAAGGAAGAAGGAGUUCGUUCUGUAAACUUCUGUCAGCAAGGAAGAAAGUCGGAGGGAGGAAAUGACAUCCGAGUGACGGUACUUUAUGAGAAAGCCACGGCAAACUACGUGCCAGCAGCCGCGGUAAUACGUAGGUGGCAAGCGUGAUCCGGAAUUAUUGGGCGGAAAGAGGGAGCAGGCGGCAGCAAAGGUCUGUGGUGAAAGACUGAAGCUUAACUUCAGUAAGCCAUAGAAACCGGGCAGCUGGAGUGCAGGAGAGGAUCGUGGAAUUCCAUGUGUAGCGGUGAAAUGCGUAGAUAUAUGGAGGAACACCAGUGGCGAAGGCGACGAUCUGGCCUGCAACUGACGCUCAGUCCCGAAAGCGUGGGGAGCAAAUAGGAUUAGAUACCCGGGUAGUC
RNAcentral lists this ribosomal RNA (464 nucleotides) under uncultured bacterium. RNAcentral describes it as "partial 16S ribosomal RNA". It matches the Rfam family "Bacterial small subunit ribosomal RNA", at positions 338 to 795 of the family's 1533-position model. The record is from RNAcentral.